AGGGCAAGUCUGGUGCCAGCAGCCGCGGUAAUUCCAGCUCCAAUAGCGUAUAUUAAAGUUGUUGCAGUUAAAAAGCUCGUAGUUGAAUUUCGGGGUUCUACCGUUGGUCGGGCUUUGUCUGUACUGGCGUGUAGAAUUUCUACCUUCUGGGGAACCAUUAUGUUAUUAAUUUAGCGUAGUGGGAAACCAGGACCUUUACCUUGAAAAAAUUAGAGUGUUCAAAGCAGGCUUAUGUCUGAAUACAUUAGCAUGGAAUAAUAGAAUAGGACGGUGGUCCUGUUUUGUUGGUUUCUGAAUCACCGUAAUGAUUAAUAGGGAUAGUUGGGGGCAUUAGUAUUCAAUUGUCAGAGGUGAAAUUCUUGGAUUGAUUGAAGACUAACUACUGCGAAAGCAUUUGCCAAGGAUGUUUUCAUUAAUCAGUGAACGAAAGUUAGGGGAUCGAAGACGAUCAGAUACCGUCGUAGUCUUAACCAUAAACUAUGCCGACUAGGGAUCGGACGAUGUUAAUUUUUCUUGACUCGUUCGGCGCCUUACGGGAA
RNAcentral lists this ribosomal RNA (539 nucleotides) under uncultured Glomeromycotina. RNAcentral's name for it is "SSU rRNA". It matches the Rfam family "Eukaryotic small subunit ribosomal RNA", at positions 552 to 1096 of the family's 1831-position model. Lineage: Eukaryota; Fungi; Glomeromycota. The record is from RNAcentral.